RNAcentral lists this ribosomal RNA (794 nucleotides) under Streptomyces sp. MJ411. RNAcentral describes it as "bacterial SSU rRNA". It matches the Rfam family "Bacterial small subunit ribosomal RNA", at positions 67 to 874 of the family's 1533-position model. Lineage: Bacteria; Bacillati; Actinomycetota; Actinomycetes; Kitasatosporales; Streptomycetaceae. The record is from RNAcentral.
CGAUGAAGCCGCUUCGGUGGUGGAUUAGUGGCGAACGGGUGAGUAACACGUGGGCAAUCUGCCCUUCACUCUGGGACAAGCCCUGGAAACGGGGUCUAAUACCGGAUAACACUCUGUCCCGCAUGGGACGGGGUUGAAAGCUCCGGCGGUGAAGGAUGAGCCCGCGGCCUAUCAGCUUGUUGGUGGGGUAAUGGCCUACCAAGGCGACGACGGGUAGCCGGCCUGAGAGGGCGACCGGCCACACUGGGACUGAGACACGGCCCAGACUCCUACGGGAGGCAGCAGUGGGGAAUAUUGCACAAUGGGCGAAAGCCUGAUGCAGCGACGCCGCGUGAGGGAUGACGGCCUUCGGGUUGUAAACCUCUUUCAGCAGGGAAGAAGCGAAAGUGACGGUACCUGCAGAAGAAGCGCCGGCUAACUACGUGCCAGCAGCCGCGGUAAUACGUAGGGCGCAAGCGUUGUCCGGAAUUAUUGGGCGUAAAGAGCUCGUAGGCGGCUUGUCACGUCGGAUGUGAAAGCCCGGGGCUUAACCCCGGGUCUGCAUUCGAUACGGGCUAGCUAGAGUGUGGUAGGGGAGAUCGGAAUUCCUGGUGUAGCGGUGAAAUGCGCAGAUAUCAGGAGGAACACCGGUGGCGAAGGCGGAUCUCUGGGCCAUUACUGACGCUGAGGAGCGAAAGCGUGGGGAGCGAACAGGAUUAGAUACCCUGGUAGUCCACGCCGUAAACGUUGGGAACUAGGUGUUGGCGACAUUCCACGUCGUCGGUGCCGCAGCUAACGCAUUAAGUUCCCCGCCU